GCAAGACACAGUAGCACAUGCCUGUAGUUCUAGCUACUCAGGAGGCUGAGGCUAAAGGAUCACCUGAGUCUAGGAGUUCUGGGCUGUAUUGUGCUGUGCCCAUUGGGUGUCUGCACUAAGUUCAGCAUCAGUAUGGUCACCUACCAGGAGGGGGAACCAUCAAGUUGCCUGAGGGGUGAACCCACCCAGGUCAUAAAUGGAGCUGGUCAAACUCCCCUGCUGAUCAGUAGUGGGAUUGCGCCUUUGGAUAGCCACUGCACUCCAGCCUGGGCAACAUAGCAAGACCCCCAUC
This is an unclassified non-coding RNA of Otolemur garnettii (small-eared galago), 292 nucleotides long. It matches the Rfam family "Metazoan signal recognition particle RNA". From Rfam's summary of the family: The signal recognition particle (SRP) is a universally conserved ribonucleoprotein. It is involved in the co-translational targeting of proteins to membranes. The record is from Ensembl. NCBI's taxonomy places the organism in Eukaryota, Metazoa, Chordata, Mammalia, Primates, Galagidae.